This 561-nucleotide unclassified non-coding RNA is filed under the name Sporormiella sp. RNAcentral describes it as "partial contains 18S rRNA, ITS1, 5.8S rRNA, ITS2, and 28S rRNA". The stretch from base 194 to 347 matches the Rfam family "5.8S ribosomal RNA". Lineage: Eukaryota; Fungi; Ascomycota; Dothideomycetes; Pleosporales; Sporormiaceae. The record is from RNAcentral.
AAGUAAAAGUCGUAACAAGGUUUCCGUNGGUGAACCUGCGGAAGGAUCANNNUCGUGGGGCUUCGGCCCUAUCGUGAUAGAACCCUUGCCUUUUGAGUACCGUCCGUUUCCUCGGCAGGCCCGCCUGCCAAUGGGGACCCCAAUAAACCCUUUUUAUGUACCUGUAUCAGUCUGAAAAACAAACAAAAGUUAAAACUUUCAACAACGGAUCUCUUGGUUCUGGCAUCGAUGAAGAACGCAGCGAAAUGCGAUAAGUAGUGUGAAUUGCAGAAUUCAGUGAAUCAUCGAAUCUUUGAACGCACAUUGCGCCCUUUGGUAUUCCUUAGGGCAUGCCUGUUCGAGCGUCAUUUGAAACCUCAAGCUCAGCUUGGUGUUGGGUGUCUGUCCCCGCCUCCCGCGGGGACUCGCCUCAAAAUCAUUGGCGGCCGGUACGUUGGCUUCGAGCGCAGCAGAAACGCGAACUCGAGGCCCGGCGGAUCGGCGACCAGAAGUCACUUCNUCACAGUUUGACCUCGGAUCAGGNAGGGAUACCCGCUGAACUUAAGCAUAUCAAUAAGCGGA